AUUGAACGCUGGCGGCAGGCCUAAAACAUGCACGUCGAGCGGAGCGGCUGACGGGUGAGUAAUGCCUAGGACUCUGCCUUGUAGUGGGGGAUAACGUCCGGAAACGGGCGCUAAUCCCGCAUACUAUCAGAUGAGCCUAGGUCGGAUUAGUUAGUUGGUGGGGUAAAGGCCUACCAAGGCGACGAUCCGUAACUGGUCUGAGAGGAUGAUCAGUCAAACUGGAACGGAGACACGGUCCAGACUCCUACGGGAGGCAGCAUUGGGGAAUAUUGGACAAGGGGCGAAAGCAUGAUCCAGCCAUGCCGCGUGUGUGAAGAAGGUCUUCGGAUUGUAAAGCACUUUAAGUUGGGAGGCGUUACCAACAGAAGAAGCACCGGCGAACUUCGUGCCAGCAGCCGCGGUAAAA
Molecule: ribosomal RNA, 406 nt
Filed under: uncultured bacterium
Lineage: Bacteria
Description: partial 16S ribosomal RNA
Rfam family: Bacterial small subunit ribosomal RNA
Source: RNAcentral